This 1241-nucleotide long non-coding RNA is filed under the name Cricetulus griseus (Chinese hamster). Its description in RNAcentral is "lncRNA (ENSCGRG00015036388.1)". The record is from RNAcentral. Lineage: Eukaryota; Metazoa; Chordata; Mammalia; Rodentia; Cricetidae.
CCUUAACCUCUAAGCCACCUCGCCAGUCCAUGGAGUAUAUUGGUAAAUGUGGCUAUGUUGUAUGCCAUUUUCAUACGCAUUUCCUGCUUUUUUCCCCUAACGACUUGCUUGCGGAGUUUACAUUAUGGAAAUUAUGUUAGACUAAAGGCAGAUUUGAACCUGGGCAAUGGUGGGUCCACACCUUUAGUUUCAGCACCGGGGAGGCAGAGGCAACAGAUUGGAGGGAUUUGCGAUUUGAGUUCAGAAUGGGCUGCAAAGCAUCGACAGCACAUUUGGUUGGCUAAGGGACAUUCCCCGAAGCCGUGGCUCUGGGACUUCGGAUUUGCACUCAGCAGUCAGGGCGGUCUGCAGAAGCAGUGAGUUCGAGCCUUGACGAUGAUGGGUGUAGUGACUGACAUCUGCAGGAGCGGACCGUUCAAUCAACGGUCAUUUGCCACUUGAAGCAAAGUGGAACAGUGAACAGGCUGAACACUCGAAGCUGGUUUCGGCCUGCGACUCUGUCUUCACUGGUUCCACACAAGGGACCACUUGUCACACAGUGGGAGACGGGUUUAAGCUUUUCCCCCAGCAUCUGUCUCACUGAGGGGGCUGCAGCGGUUGUCACUUGCCAAGAAUGACCAGAAGGAAGAAAAUGCAGCAAAGGCUGGUUCAGGAGGAGCUGAGCCACCUCAUGAGGCAUAUGUAUGCAUGCAUGCAUGCGUUUUUAGCUCAGGUGCGUGGCUGUGUGAGGGGGUCAGGUCCCCAAGAACUCACCUAACGCUGUGUAACGAGGCUAACGAAGCUCUCUAUGACAAACCCUAAGGAAACUCCCCCAACUGCAGCCUUAGUGCCCAGCUCCGGUCUCAGAGACUAAAGAGCAGGCUGGCCUCCAACUCACAGACAUCCCCCUGCCUCCGCCUCCGCCUCCCAGGUGCUGGGACUGAGGGCGAGCGCCGCCACCGCCAGGCUGUGGCUUCUUCUUCUUUAGACUCUGACUUGAGGCGUUUUCUCCGGGAGCUCAAACCAGGCCGUUGGCCGGCGACUCCGCCCCACAGACCCGAGGCCUCUCCACAGCUCCACAGCCCCGGGGCCUCUCCACAGCCCCGGGCGGCUCCACAGCUCCACAGGCCCGGGAGCUCUCCACAGACCCAGGACCUCUCCACAGGCCCGGGCGGCUCCACAGCUCCACAGACCCGGGACCUCUCCACAGCCCCGGGGCCUCUCCACAGACCCGGGACCUCUCCACAGACCCGGACCUCUCC